CACCUGUCUUCCCUUCCUCCCGCCCGCCGCCUCCCCCUUUCUCUCUCUCCCUGAUCCAGAUCGACGCUGCCUCCCUCCCUCUCUCUCUCUCUCCCCGAUCCAGAUAGACGCUGCCUCCCUCUCUCUCUCUCUCUCUCGCUUCCCGUCGCCGGCGGCGACGCCCUCCUUCCCUCGCCCCCUCCUCCUCCCCUCCUCACGGCGCCUCCACCACGCAACAAAUCCCGGCGACCCACCCCGUCUCCGCGACCGCCUCGGCAACCACCUCCGCCGCGCGUCCGAGUCCCAUCCAUGUCCGCGCCGGCCCCGUCUCUGUCUCCUUUCGUGGGAGGUGACCCGCACCCUGCCCCGCGGCGGGGGAGGGGCAGCGGCGGCCUCGUGUAGAUCCCAUCGGGAUCCCGUCCGGAUCACGGCGCGGACGCAUGCCCUAGACGCCAUGACCCGUCUCCCUCCCCUUCUCUAAUCAGGAAGGAGAGGCCAGGCGCCGGACAUGAACUUGCUCUGCCCGGGACGCCGCUCGCCAUCAAGGCAGGAGGCCGGCAACACGGUGGUGAUGACGCCAGCGUUCAGCGUGGACAAUCCCUGCUCGAUUCGGCCAGGCUCGAGAUACACCCAUCCCUCGACUCUGCUGCUUCUCCCCGACUUAGAAUGAGGCUGCUCUGGAGGAAGCAGAGGACUCUGGGGAGAAGGCUUCCAUCAAGGAAGCAGACAAGUACUGCAAGGCCAUCAUCAGGAGGCUGUCGCGCGGCGCCACCUGCCUGAAGGGCAGCCUGCUGGCCAUCGCCCUUGCAGCCGGGGCUGGCUUCAUGCUCUCCCCCAACCUGGACCUCACCGCCGACCUGGAGAAGCUCCAGGCGAUGGCGUUAUUCUUGUUUGAAGCUAAGCUAGGCUACUGCAGUUCCAGCAAAAAGCAGGGGAGCCGCUCUUUUCUUUCUUCACUAAUAAAUUCUUGUUUGAAUGCAUAUCCUGGGGGUGGUGAAGCUGGGAGCCUUUCCUCCCCAUAAAAAUACUUUGCUCUUCAUUAUGAGCAGUGCCCUUAUAUAAUUAGCUGCUAGGAGUGUUUAUAUACUUGAUCACCACACCUCUAUCGUUCUGGUUACUUUUGCUUUCUUCUAUGUAGUUGUCCAGGGCAUAACGGUUUUAUGUGUGGCUUGUUUUUGUGUUACCAGCCUACUUUCUUGUACUGACUUUACCAUCAGUGACACACCUCUUGGAGAUUUUUGUAUUACCGAUGGCUUAAUAUUUAAACUGUUUAGAUUGAUUUGAAAUUGAAAUCAUAGGGUUCUUUUGAAUUGUUUGUAGUUGCUCCAGGUCCUUCUGUAGCUGUGUUUAUAACUGUCUUUGUUCCUUUUUUGAUAACAGGACCAGUUUGACACGAUUGACUUGUCGGACAGCGAGAUUGUCAAGCUUGAGAACUUCCCUUUCAUGAAUCGACCAGGGAGCGUGCAUCACAUAUUUGUCAUAGAAUAGUUUUAUUUGGCACUUACUGUUCCUGGGAUGUAAAGAUAUGUAUUGCUGGAAUGAAUGGUUGUAAUAUAAUAACAUUGCAUGUUGCUUUGAAAAUGUAUUAGAGCAGGGCUAGGCCCAAGAUAGCUUGUGGUGUGAUGUGUUGUAAUGUCAAUGGCAUAAUAUUUUUUUUGGAUUGGAUCA
Long non-coding RNA from Triticum aestivum (bread wheat), 1647 nucleotides. RefSeq lists it as uncharacterized. Lineage: Eukaryota; Viridiplantae; Streptophyta; Magnoliopsida; Poales; Poaceae. The transcript is spliced from 3 exons. The record is from RefSeq and is a predicted model, not a curated record.